UGCCAGUAGAGGCUGCUCCGUCAGAGCCGGU
This 31-nucleotide small RNA is filed under the name Bombyx mori (domestic silkworm). RNAcentral describes it as "ovarian small RNA-33690". The record is from RNAcentral. Lineage: Eukaryota; Metazoa; Arthropoda; Insecta; Lepidoptera; Bombycidae.